Molecule: ribosomal RNA, 490 nt
Filed under: uncultured bacterium
Lineage: Bacteria
Description: partial 16S ribosomal RNA
Rfam family: Bacterial small subunit ribosomal RNA
Source: RNAcentral
AUUGAACGCUGGCGGCAGGCCUAACACAUGCAAGUCGAACGGUAACAGGAAACAGCUUGCUGUUUCGCUGACGAGUGGCGUACGGGUGAGUAAUGUCUGGGAAACUGCCUGAUGGAGGGGGAUAACUACUGGAAACGGUAGCUAAUACCGCAUAACGUCGCAAGACCAAAGAGGGGGACCUUCGGGCCUCUUGCCAUCGGAUGUGCCCAGAUGGGAUUAGCUAGUAGGUGGGGUAACGGCUCACCUAGGCGACGAUCCCUAGCUGGUCUGAGAGGAUGACCAGCCACACUGGAACUGAGACACGGUCCAGACUCCUACGGGAGGCAGCAGUGGGGAAUAUUGCACAAUGGGCGCAAGCCUGAUGCAGCCAUGCCGCGUGUAUGAAGAAGGCCUUCGGGUUGUAAAGUACUUUCAGCGGGGAGGAAGGGAGUAAAGUUAAUACCUUUACUCAUUGACGUUACCCGCAGAAGAAGCACCGGCUAACUCCGUG